UACAGAGGGGGCAAGCGUUGUUCGGAAUUACUGGGCGUAAAGGGCGCGUAGGCGGCCUUCUAAGUCGAACGUGAAAUCCCCGGGCUCAACCCGGGAACUGCGUCCGAUACUGGAAGGCUUGAAUCCGGGAGAGGGAUGCGGAAUUCCAGGUGUAGCGGUGAAAUGCGUAGAUAUCUGGAGGAACACCGGUGGCGAAGGCGGCAUCCUGGACCGGCAUUGACGCUGAGGAGCGAAAGCCAGGGGAGCAAAUGGG
Molecule: ribosomal RNA, 253 nt
Filed under: uncultured bacterium
Lineage: Bacteria
Description: partial 16S ribosomal RNA
Rfam family: Bacterial small subunit ribosomal RNA
Source: RNAcentral